AAUCAACGCUGGCGGCGUGCCUAACACAUGCAAGUCGAACGCGAAAGCCCCGCAAGGGGUAAGUAGAGUGGCAAACGGGUGAGUAACACGUGGGUGACCUGCCUUCGAGUGGGGGAUAACGUCCCGAAAGGGACGCUAAUACCGCAUGACAUCCUGCUUUUGAAAAAGCGGAGAUCAAAGCUGGGGAUCGCAAGACCUAGCGCUUGAAGAGGGGCCCGCGCCUGAUUAGCUAGUUGGUGAGGUAACGGCUCACCAAGGCGACGAUCAGUAUCCGGCCUGAGAGGGCGGACGGACACACUGGGACUGAGACACGGCCCAGACUCCUAAGGGAGGCAGCAGGGGGGAAUUGUUCGCAAUGGGCGCAAGCCUGACGACGCAACGCCGCGUGGAGGACGAAGAGCUUCGGGUCGUAAACUCCUGUCGAGCGGGACGAACGCUUCGCGGAUGAAUAAUCCGCGGAAUUGACGGUACCGCUAAAGGAAGCCCCGGCUAACUCCGUG
RNAcentral lists this ribosomal RNA (500 nucleotides) under uncultured bacterium. RNAcentral describes it as "partial 16S ribosomal RNA". It matches the Rfam family "Bacterial small subunit ribosomal RNA", at positions 29 to 507 of the family's 1533-position model. The record is from RNAcentral.